This 423-nucleotide long non-coding RNA is filed under the name Homo sapiens (human). RNAcentral's name for it is "HSALNT0166989". Lineage: Eukaryota; Metazoa; Chordata; Mammalia; Primates; Hominidae. The record is from RNAcentral.
UCUGUCUUCCCCAAAUGCUCAAUAAAUGUUUGUUGACUGAAUACGGAAGUGAGAAAAAUCCCAAAACUUAUAAACUAAAUCCUGGAUAAACAAAUAAAGAGGGUAUUCAUGAAUUAAUGGAUGUCUGAUCCAUUAUUUAUUAUCAAAGAAAAUCCAGAAAUGUUUGGGUCACACUCGCUUUUUUCUUUCUUUUUUUUUUUGAGACGCAGUCUGGCUCUGUCCCCCAGGCUGGAGUGCAACUCAGUCUCAAAAAAAAGAAUGAAAAAAUCCUGUGUUGGUCUCUCUGUGCCAAUGAACUCUCCACCUGCAACCAUCUCUGAGGGCAAGCCUUUUCUCUGACCCAUGUUGAUGUAAUGUGAUGAUAACAAUGUUUAUAUAUAGUAACAGCUAACACUUAUGUAGCCUUUGCUACAUGCCAACAAC